Molecule: long non-coding RNA, 3576 nt
Filed under: Solanum tuberosum (potato)
Lineage: Eukaryota; Viridiplantae; Streptophyta; Magnoliopsida; Solanales; Solanaceae
Description: long non-coding RNA (STUB_LNC007345)
Source: RNAcentral
UUCAGCCCAUCCGCCACCCCAACCCCCUCUUUCUGGCUUCAGCUACGGACCACCCAUCUUUGCCUCAACUUCCUUUUGCAGUCACCCCCACCCUAUCAGUAGACCCAAUUCUUUCUUUUUUUCAUUUUUUUGUUUCCAUUUUAGUUUCAUCAAAUACCACUAUUAAAGAAUAGAAUUUUCAAAUACAAAAGGCUUACAAAGGAAGGAAAGAAAUGGAAACAAAGGAAGAUUAAUUUAGAUCUAAUUUAAGAUUCAAGAUUUUCUUUUUAAGACUUCCAUUUUUUAUAACCGUCUUUUUUAUUUGUAUAAAAACAAGUUUAAAUGGAAGAAAAAUAGACUAAGAGGGUGGAGGUGAUGAUGGUUGUUGGUCGAGAGAGGUGGACGGAAGUUGGAGGAAGGUGAUAAAAAUAAGAAUUUUACUUUAAAGAAUUAUCUUUUAUUUAAUAUUUUGAUUAAUAAUUUUUAAAAAUAGUUAAUGAAGAUAAUUAUGACGUGUUAUUAAUUUAUGUGACAUGCAUUUGACAUGUCAUCUAUUUGAGGGAGAGUGGGCUACACAAAUAAUAUGAGGGGUUUAAAAAUCAUCUUUUAAUUGUGUUUAAGGGUUUAGUUGGUAAAGUGUUAAGUAAAAUGAUCCACAAUACAAAUGCAUACAGGUAUAGGGGUCCAUUAGAUCAUUUCACCUUCUACGGACAAUACACCUACUAAUAGCAAAGAUGUGUCAAUUGGCACAGAGGAAACAAAAAAAAAAGAAAUGGAUCCUAGAUUUAUUGUUUGGCAACACUUUGAUUUUAUUUUUUUUGAAAAUAGUGUAUUAGUUAAAGAAAAGUGUUUACAUUGUAAACAAAACUAUGGUGCUAAUACAACUAGAAAUGGAACAAGUGGACUGAGACAACAUUUGACUAACUGAUGUAAAGUGUAUAAGCCCCCGCCUGUUGCACCUAGUAUUCAAAAAUUGUUAAAUAUUCAAAGUAACAGUUCUUCGAUAGAGACUUGGAAAUUUGAGAAAGAGGUAGCUAGGAGAUCUUUAGUGUAGAUGAUAAUAUUGGAUGAACUACCUUUUAGUUUUGUUGAAAAAGAAGGCUUUAAGAAGUUUAUGAGUAAAGUCCAACCUUUGUUUCGGAUUCCUUCGCGUAGAACCAUAACAAGGGAUUCUUAUGAAGUUUAUGGUGAAUUGAGAAUGAAUUUGAAAAAGUCUUUUAGAGAAAUACAACCAAGAAUUUGUCUCACAACAGACACAUGGACUUCGGUGCAAAGAAUCAAUUAUAUGUGUUUGACUGCUCACUUUAUUGAUAGGGAUUGGGUGCUUCAUAAAAGAAUAUUGAUUUUUUGUCCUAUCACCAUUCAUAAAGGUGAGCAUAUGGUUGAGUGUAUUAGUAAUUGUUUGCUUGAUUGGAACUCGGACAAUGUCUUUAAUGUUACGGUUGAUAAUGCCUCUUCAAAUGAUGUGACAGUUUUAGAGUUGUCCAAAAAAUUAGAUAUGUGGGGAACUAAUAUGAUGGAUGGUAAGCAUCUCCAUGUGAGAUGUAUGGCUCACAUACUUAAUGUAAUUGUGUAAGAUAGUUUGAAAGAGAUUGGUCCUUCUAUCAAACGGGUGAGACAAAUGGUGAAAUAUGUUAGAUCAUCUUCUACAAGGACAAGAAACUUCUUGAAAUGUGUUGAAAUGCAAAAGAUAGAAUGUGAUAAAAUAUUGUCUUUAGAUGUGCCUACUAGGUGGAAUUCCACCUAUUUGAUGUUGGACACGGCAAGAAAGUUUGAGAAGGCUUUUGAGAGGUUUGAUCUUUAUGAUGGUAAUUUUAAUUAUUUUUGCUACUGAUGUUUGUGAAGAUGGAAGUAUUGCAGGUUUAAUUCAAAAUGAGGAUUAGGCUAAUGUGAGGAAUGUCACAAAGUUUCUAGAAAGAUUUUAUGAGCUCACGUAGAAUGUUUCAGGUUCACGGUAUGUUACUUGUAAUGUUCAUUUUGAGGAUAUAUGUGAGCUUGAUGCAUAUUUGAAAGUAUGUAUGACAAGUGAUGAUGUUGAUCUUGAUGCAUAUUUGAAAGUAUGUAUGACAAGUGAUGAUGUUGAUCUUGAUGCAUAUUUGAAAGUAUGUAUGACAAGUGAUGAUGUUGAUCUUGAUGCAUAUUUGAAAGUAUGUAUGACAAGUGAUGAUGUUGAUCUUGAUGCAUAUUUGAAAGUAUGUAUGACAAGUGAUGAUGUUGAUCUUGAUGCAUAUUUGAAAGUAUGUAUGACAAGUGAUGAUGUUAAUUUGAGUAAAUUGGCUUCGGGGAUGAAAGAAAAGUUCAAGAAAUAUUGGGGUACUCCUAAAAAGAUGAACAAAAUUCUUUUUUUUGCCUCUGCUUUGGAUCCUCGCAAUAAAUUUGUGUGUGUUAGUUUUGCUCUUGAAGAAUUACUUGGGGAAGAUAAGAGAAAGAUAGUGAAUAAUGUACUUGAAGAAAUUGUUUGUGAUCUAUGUAAGUAAGUAUGCAAAAGGUUCUAAAAAUCAAUCAUCUUCAUCUGACUCAUAUGAUUCAUCUACUUGUGGUCUUUCUCAAAAUGUGAAAACAAAUUCUUUGAGAACUAAGUUUUACAUGAAGAAACAAAAGGAAGAUUUUGGAAGUUUAGGUGUUAAUUAUGAGUUGGAUAGAUAUCUUCUUGAAGACCAAGAGCCUGAAUCUAAGGAUUUUGAUAUUUUAAUUUGGUGGAAAGUUAAUUCUCCUAGAUUUUCUAUACUUUCACCGUUGGCUCGAGAUGUAUUGGUUAUUCCUAUGUCGAGUGUGACAUUGAAAUAUGCAUUUAGCACCGGUGGUCAUAUUCUUGAUCCCUUUAGAAGUUCAUUGACUCUCAAAUGUGUGCAAUGCCUUAUUUGUGUCCAAGAUUGGCUUAGACAAGAAACUAAGCCUAUUUGUGUUGAAGAAAGUUUGGAGUUUCUUGAAAUAAUUGAACUUGGUAAGACUAUUUAUUUUUUAUUUGUUUUUGGAAAAAAUAAAAUACUUAUUGUGUUGUGUGACAUAUUUGAUUUUUUUAUUUAUAGAGAUGACAAAUAGUGGAAGAAACUCUUCCACUGUUGAUCUAUGAUUGACUUGCAAGUCUCAAGUAUUUAAUAGUGGUGAGUUCGAUACGUCAUCUAUUUAAUCAUGUCAUUUUUUUUAAUCUUAAAAGUAGUAUUCUAACAUUUGAUUUUAUCUUAAAAGGUUAAAGAGUCAAGACAAUGAAUAAAGGCGUAAAGUACAAAGUUUUGUUAGUGUUUUUGUUGGCACUUGAAACUUGAAAGUGAUCUCAUGGAAGAAAGUCAAGAAACUACAUUGUUGCUCAUUAUUGUUAUUUGUUAUUGUUGGCAUUUGAAAGUGAUCUCAUGGAAGAAGCUACAUUAUUUGUUGCUCAUUAUUGUUGUUUGUUAUUGUUGGCAGUUGAAACUUGAAAAUGGUCUCAUGGAAGAAACUACAUUAGUGAAUUAUUGUCACUUGUUAGAUUGUUAUUGUGUUGUUGUGUAAUGGCAUGAUCAAUUGAUCAUUGUAUUUGUGAAGUGUAGUGAAGUUUUAUUACUUGUUAAAUUGUUGCUUGUUAGUGCCUUUUUGGCUUUAUUAUUUUUACUUGUUAAA